AAGGAUCAUUAACACGUAUCCACGUAUCAACCCCUCUGUGAAAACCUAGAAACAAGCAAGGAUUGGUCUUAGUGCGUUGCCGUUAUGGGUCCUAAUGAUGGCCGGGUUUUCGAACCCGGAGGGCUCGGCUUCGUGUGUUUGACGACUGAUUCGACACUUUUCCAUUGUUGGCCUUUUUUUACUUUAACCCCUUUGUACUUUUUGUACUGAACCAUUCUUCGAUGCUCUCUCCUGAGAGUGACGAAAGAUAUUACGAAACUUAAGAACAACUCUUAGCAACGGAUAUCUUGGUUCCC
RNAcentral lists this unclassified non-coding RNA (296 nucleotides) under uncultured fungus. RNAcentral's name for it is "partial contains 18S rRNA, ITS1, 5.8S rRNA, ITS2 and 28S rRNA". The record is from RNAcentral. Lineage: Eukaryota; Fungi.